UAAAAUUAACAAAUUUCUAAAUGUGAGCAAUUUUUAUGUCCAUAACUGGUGUAACUUUGAUGUCCAUAACCUAAGUGACAUAUUCUAAGUAACGGUAAUGUCCGUAAGUUGUGUGACUUAAUUGUUCAUAACCUAAGUGACUGUCAUGUCCAUAAAUUGUGUGACUUUAAUGUUAAUAAUCUAUUCUAAGUAACAGUAAUGUCCAUAAGUUGUCUGACUGUAAUGUCCGUAAGUUGUGUGACUUAAUUGUUCAUAACCUAAGUGACUGUCAUGUCCAUAAAUUGUUGUGUGAUUUUAAUGUUAAUAAUCUAUUCUAAGUAACAGUAAUGUCCGUAAGUUGUGUGACUGUAAUGUCCAUAAGUUGUGUGACUUAUUUGUUCAUAACCUAAGUGACUGUCAUGUCCAUAAAUUGUGUGACUGUAAUUUUAUUAAACUAAGUAACUGGCAUGUCCAUAACUUGUGUGACUUUAACAUCCAUAACCUAAGUGACUGUAAUGUCAUAAAUUGUGUGACUUUAAUGUUAAUAAUCUAUUCUAAGUAACGGUAAUGUCCAUAAGUUGUGUGACUGUAAUGUCCAUAAGUUGUGUGACUGUAAUGUCCGUAAGUUGUGUGACUUAAUUGUUCAUAACCUAAGUGACUGUCAUGUCCAUAAAUUGUGUGACUUUAAUGUUAAUAAUCUAUUCUAAGUAACGGUAAUGUCCGUAAGUUGUGUGACUUAAAUGUUAAUUAUUUAAGUGACUGUCAUGUCCAUAAGUUGUGUGACUAUUAAUGUAUGUAAGUUGUUUGACUGUAAUGUCUGGGGCAACAACUGCAUUUAGUUGUUGAGUUACUAGUUAAUUAAUUAUUAAGUACCCCAGGGCAUGUAUGGAUUUGUGUUUUAAAACUUGGUAUUGUAUUUUGAAACAAUGUUUAUUGGAAAUAGAGGGAUUUUUAUUUAUUUUGUCGCACUGCUUUACUUACAAAAAUGCCCAAUUUUUUAUGUGAAACAGCCUUUGAAAGAAAAAUAUAGCAAAAAUUAUUUAAUUUUAUUUCUGAUAAUGUAGUCAGUCCGUAGAUGUCCCUUGACCAAAUAAAUGGUCCGCUAUCUACUUUUGUAGCCUGUUGAACAGGUAUCUGACUUAAGUUCUUUGUCCUUUUCUAUUAAACCUGUAUAUCCAUUUUUUACUACUUUGAGCACGAAUAAGAUGAAUGUUUGUCCCCAGUUUAUAGGUCAAGGUCACAGUGGACACUUUAAAUUUGUGUAUAUUCCUUAAAUGGAUGUAGUAAAAUUAUAUGUUCCUGCACGGCUUUAUUUUGUUAUAUUUUGUUUUAUUUUUGAUAUUGUAGUCGGUCAGUAGAUGUCCCUUGACCAAAUAAAUGGUCCGCUAUCUACUGUUGUAGCCUGUUUGACAGGUAUCUGACUAAGUUUUGUUAACGCCCGUUUGAAAAAACGGACAUAUUAUGUGAUCACCCAUGGGUGGGCGGCUUCCAGAUCUCUGAGUAUAACUCUUAAAGUAUAAGAGCUUUUCACAUGAAAAUUCAUAUAUGGAUUGAUUUCAUUGAGAAGAAGUGCAGUGCACGAGAACCAUAACUCUAGCUUGCUUUAUUUCAGAAUUAUACCACAUUUUAAAUUUUCUUUUCUGAGUCAUAACUUCAUAACUAUAAGGCCAAUUAACAUCAAACUUGGAAUAAACGUAGGUUGUGGUGUAUAGAAGUGCAGCCCACAAGAAUCAUAACUUUAGAUUGCAUAAUUUUAGAAAUAUCCCCAUUAAUAAUUUUGUUGGUAUGCCUUUUUUCUUGGUUGCCUGUUUUUUAUGUCCCCAGUCUAUGCUGGGGGACAUAUUGUUUUUGCCCUGUCUGUUGGUUUGUUUGCACAAACUUUAACAUUGGCCAUAACUUUUGCAAUAUUGAAGAUAGCAACUUGAUAUUUGGCAUGUAUGUGUAUCUCAUAGAGAAUAUUUCAUUGAGUGUGACCUUCUUGGUGACCUUCAAAAAAAAGACAAGCAUUGGGGCAUUACGACUCUUGUUUCAUAAAAAAAAAAAUUUGUUCAAGGUAACUACAAUUAGUCCUCUACAACUUUCACAUUUUAUUUAGUUCAACAGUUCUAUCACAUUUUACAAGUUUUACAUAUUUUUGAGAAAAAAAGUAAAGCUGUGCUACUGUGGACAUUCAUUGUUUUACUCUUUUUUAUUAUUAAUUAAUGAUCUUUAAGAUUGGUAUCUUCAUUCCAUUUUGGACAUGGUCUGGUCAGUAUUAGUAUUAUACAUAUGAAUGUUAGAAGGUUCAUAUAUCUAUGUUUGCAAUUACAAGAUAAAAAUGCAGAUAAUAUUGCAGCCAAAUUGUGUUACAAUGUAUUACUAUCUGAUGUGUUGUGUGUCAUUGAAUAGCAUAAUCCAUGAGACAUCUUGCACCCAAGCUGAUCCAGGCAAAUGCUGGUCAUGCCCAAAGAAUUUUAUCUGCCAUUGAUUCUUAGAAGGUUUGUGCCCAGCACAUCAUCAGGCACAUUGAAUUUUUACCGUAAUGUAACAAUAAUACAUUGUUCUGGUUCUUACAUAGUUUCAAAUCGUGUAUUACUGUAUACAAAGUUCCCAUUUUAUGUCAUGGGCACAUGCAAGAUGCACAGAGAUGGCAAUAUUGAUAGUCCAGCAAUAUCAGUAGAUUUCUAUAUGAAAUGUAUAUAAACAGAAAUUUCAUUUUCUUUUAAUUUCAUCAUUUCUGGUCAUAUACCUAUCGUUCAUAUUUCAUUGGAAAGCUCUUGAAAUUCUUAAGAUGUCAUAAUUAAAAACUAAAAAUGAGGUUAAACAAACAGACCAUUUAUUGUUCAAUGUUCUUUUCAGUCAAAUUAUGGGAAAAAAAUCAUAUAGUGUAACUUUUAUGCUUAUAAUUUUCUGUAGACAAUAUUAUAUUGUAAAAUAUAUUUAUAUCUAAAAUGCAAAAUGAAUAACAGUUAAAAUGAUACCAUUUUGAGCUCACCUGAGCACGAAGCUUUUAGGAUCACCUUACGUCCGUUGUCCGUGGUGUGUCAACCUGCUUCAAAUGACAUCGCCUAAACUAUGCCAAUUUUGAUAAAACUUUACAAGAAUGAUCAUUGGGUGACCCUAUACUAAAAUUGCUUUAUUUGUUCUGCUUUUGUUGCACAAGAUGACUAUCAUUACUAAAAAUAAAAAAAAUCUUUAAGUGGCAUAUUCUUUUAAACCACUACGCCAAAUUUGCCAAAUAAGUUUACAGAAGUGAUCCUUGGGUUAUCCUUGACAAAAUUGAUUAAAUCAUUUCUUUAUGAUGCAAGAGAUGGCAGUUGUCGCUAGAACAUUAUUGGAUAUUUUGACAUGAACUAGUACACUAAUUGUUCAGGUGAGUGUCUAAGGGCCAUCGGGCCAUCUUGUUAAUAUACCCUCUCAGAGCUGUUAACAAUAUUUUUUAUAUUUAGUUAAAAAAUAACAGAAGCUAUUAACAUUUUCCCCCACUGUAAUUGUAAACUAUCAAAAUGGCUGCCAGAUUAUUGUAAAUAAGAACAAUAUAACUCUUAUCAGAUAGAAAAAUUGGUGCUUUGAAAACUAUAUUGAUAUUUUAUCUGUUUCUAUGUAUAGACGGCUUUGUAAAUUUCAUACAAUGAGUAGUUGGUUUCCUAUUGAACUAUUACGCCAUUUUGGCAUAGAACGUAACCAAAGAAUAUGUACUUUGUGAAGUUGUUUAGGUGAUGAGUUUCAGUACUGUUUCAGUCACUUUAAAUCUACACGUAAAAAAAUAUUUAUAAAUAUUUUAGAAUUCAUCCUCUUAUAAAAUGGAAAAGUUAAUGAAUACGUAAUAUACAUCUGUACUUUUUCAAGUUAGUAUUAUUUUGUAAAAUUGUUAUGAAUAAUUUUAUUCAUUAUAAAUCAUGUCAUGGAUUUUUAAUUACAUGUAAAUCUUAGUAUUGUGCUAUAGUCAUAAUUCUUUUAACUACAUUGUGAAAGUGUGACCUAGUGCUACUUUGACAUAAUAUAAUUGUUGUAAUAUCCUAAAAUCUGUUGUAAGUUUUGUUGCUUGUUAAUACAGUUCUACCGGUACUUGUUCUUGAGUUCAUAUUACUUUAGAAAUUAAUUAUGUUAGAUGUAUGUGUUUACAUCACACACAAUUGUGAUUCUACUGUAUAAUUAUAUAAGUAAAUAUGUCCAAUCUAGAAUCUGUUUUAUACUGAGCUUUCAUAUUUGGUAUGUAGCAUUAUCUAGAGGUCCGCUACCAAAGUUGUUCAAAUUGUUCCUCUGGGGUCAAAAUUGACUCCGCCCUGGGGGUCACAAUUUUACAUUGAAUUAUAUAAGGAAAACUUUAAAUGACUUGAACUGCUAAUGGGAUUUUGACCAAACUCAACAGAAAUGGUCCCUGGGUAGUCCUCUACCAAAAUUGUUCAAAUGGUUCUGAUUGGUUGCAUAAGUACACAUUGUCAAAAAAAAAAGGUUUUUAAAAUGCAACUUUCAAAAAUCUUCUUGUCUGAAACUACAAGACCCAGAGCUUUCAUAUUUGGUAUAUAGCAUCCUCUAGAAGUCCUCUUCCAAAUUUGGUUUAAGUUAUGCCCCUAGGGUUAAAAUUGACCCCGCACCGGGGGUCACAAUUUUACAUUGAAUUAUAUAAGGAAAACUUUAAAUGACUUCUUAUCUUGAACCGUUAAUGGGAAUUUGAACAAACUCAACAUUAACGGUCCCCUUACCACAAUUGUUCAAAUGGUUCUGAUUGGUUGCAUAAGUAGGUCAAGGGGUAAAAAAAUAGGUUUUCUAAAUGCAAUUUUCAAAAAUCUUCUUGUCUGAAACUACAAGUCCUAGAGCUUUCAUAUUAAUUUCAUGUAUAACAUCAUCUAGAGGUCCUCUACCAGUAUUUGGUGGACAACAUUAGUGGUCCUCUGUAAAUGGCUCCAUUGUGACCUUUGACCUUUUCCUAAGGUGAGCGACCCAGGGCCCUUUGGGCCCUCUUGUUAUUUUUCAUUAAAGGGACUCUCUCAGACACGUGUAAUUUGGGAGUAAAUAAACGUUAAAAAUUUGAUAUUCAACUUCCUCGUCACUAUACCAAAGACCGCUUUCAUUUUCCUUACUUAUAAGUUACUAAAACCCCAUGUUUUUGUUGCUUGGUGUGAAGUGAGCCUUUGCGCCAGUCUGUUCAACGUUGGGAAAGCCGGUUUAUAAAUAAACUGAGGAAUUCUUUUUCGCGCUAAGCUAUCACGUGACGUCUAAAAAUAAACACUACACAGCAACAUAGUAGCAAAGGGAAAUAAUCGUGCGCUUAGUUUGGGUGGAAUUCUGAACAUUUGAUGUAGAAAAUGCGAGUAUUUUUUAUUUUCCUUACCAAAUUGACCAAGAUUCAAUAAAUAUUAAUGUCUUCUCUAUUUGUUUUUGUCAUCGCUCGACCCAUUUUCGUCUAACGCAAAUAAUGUAUGCGACCAUGCACAUGUUCAGUAAACGUUUCCGAAGACCCACGUGACGAUGGUAUCUAAAAACACCACCUCUUAUUCUAAGUUAAGAUCGUUGUUUACAAAAUAAACCCGUUUAAACGGUCUUACAUAUCUGCGAUUUAAAUGUUAAUUUUCUUCUCUGUACAAAUAUGAGCAAGUUUGGAAAGCUGUCAAUAAUCUAGUUCUGUGUUACUUUAGAAAUGUAUGUUGUCGUGUUUAUGGUAGAAGACAAUUUAUUUACAAAAAGUUAAAAUCUCGAUCUCUGAGAGAGUCUCUUUAACGAAAAACCGGAGAACAGUAGUAAAAAUUAUUUAAAAUUUUGAGAAAAAGGCAUUCAUCGUUACCCCAAACCUUUAUUAUUAUCAGCCAUGUUUUUUUCAUAUCAGGGAUGGUCUAAAACCCGUGGUGUCUGGAACUGUAUAUGUUCUGAUUUUUUUACAAAUAAUGUUUUUUUGGGGGGGGCAGGUGGUUUUGGACAGGGGCGGGCGUGGAUGAGAAUCUAAAAUAUUUUUUUCUAUUGCCUAACUGUAAAAUAACAUAUCUUGAAAAAUAAAAUCCUGCAAAUACUUUCUACCUGUUGUUCUGUUACAUGUGUGUUGAACAUUUCUGUGACUUGUUAAAAUCCUAUGGACAAAUUUCUAGUCUAAAUUAGCUUCUCAAUUUAAAUAACUUGUUCCUUCAAAAUAGUGCAUGGUUUGAUAUUGUACUAUUUAAAAUUUGAAUUAAUAUUAUCUCUAGUCCUGGCAAGUCUAUGUUCUUUAAGUAAAUUGAAAUUUAAAGGUUUAUUCAUUUAAACAUUUUGCAAUGAUUUCUGUUAGUUCACAUCUUGUUAAAAUGUUUUAUACAUGCAUAGUUUAUGCCUUGGUUAAAUAAAAUCUGAAAUCUGUUGUGGGAAGUAUCAUACUAUGUAUUCGUGUUUCUGUUUGUAAAACGUUUAAUAAAACUAUUUAACAUAUA
This is a long non-coding RNA of Dreissena polymorpha, 6356 nucleotides long. RefSeq lists it as uncharacterized. The transcript is spliced from 2 exons. The record is from RefSeq and is a predicted model, not a curated record. NCBI's taxonomy places the organism in Eukaryota, Metazoa, Mollusca, Bivalvia, Myida, Dreissenidae.